CUUACAAAGUAAUAGUUUUUCUUUUUUUGUCGGAUGGUCCUUUUUCUGUUCUCUCCUGAAACGAAUAAAAUUCCUACAGUGUCUGAUUCCAUCGAUGUUGCUCUGUACUUGAUUUCAUAAUCUCCAGAAUUAUGUCGUCGCAAAGGAAAGUGGGAGCGGAGUAUUACCUUUGUAUGUUUUCACUUUGACAAAUCUGAGGACGCAAACCACAAUGACACCAUUUGAUGCUUGGCUGUCUCUAAAGACUUUGUCAGCAAAUGAGCCCCACAAGGAGUAUAUUGGCACCAAUUAUGAAGGACUUUGACCUGGAUUCUUCAUGCAGUCUUGUAUGGACGAAUGUCUUUGAGGAAAGCAAAAGAAGCCACCAUUGUCUUAGAAAAUUAGGUCUGAAGUCCAAGGAAGAAGUUAAGAGGUCUUAUACUUUCUAUAUUUUCGGCAAAGGAAGCUGUAUUAUUGUUUUUUAAAAAUUUUAUUGAUUGUAAUUACAAUGGCAUUGCAUGUAAAUAAGUCUCGACUCCAAGUUUUCUGCUGUGAAAAUGUUAAUAUAGAUCUUUUUCCCA
This is a long non-coding RNA of Camelina sativa (false flax), 560 nucleotides long. RefSeq lists it as uncharacterized. The record is from RefSeq and is a predicted model, not a curated record. Lineage: Eukaryota; Viridiplantae; Streptophyta; Magnoliopsida; Brassicales; Brassicaceae.